CCUACGGGAGGCAGCAGUGGGGAAUAUUGCGCAAUGGGCGAAAGCCUGACGCAGCGACGCCGCGUGAGGGAUGAAGGUCUUCGGAUCGUAAACCUCUGUCAGCAGGGAAGAACGGUCACUGUGCUAAUCAGCAGUGAAUUGACGGUACCUGCAAAGGAAGCACCGGCUACCUCCGUGCCAGCAGCCGCGGUAAUACGGAGGGUGCGAGCGUUAAUCGGAAUUAUUGGGCGUAAAGCGCGCGUAGGCGGUAUGUUAAGUCAAGGGUGAAAUCCCCGCGCUCAACGUGGGAACUGCCUUUGAAACUGGCAAACGUGAGUGUGUGAGAGGAUAGUGGAAUUCCAGGUGUAGGAGUGAAAUCCGUAGAUAUCUGGAGGAACAUCAGUGGCGAAGGCGACUAUCUGGCACAUAACUGACGCUGAGGAGCGAAAGCGUGGGUAGCAAACAGGAUUAGAUACCCGUGUAGUC
RNAcentral lists this ribosomal RNA (465 nucleotides) under uncultured bacterium. RNAcentral describes it as "partial 16S ribosomal RNA". It matches the Rfam family "Bacterial small subunit ribosomal RNA", at positions 338 to 795 of the family's 1533-position model. The record is from RNAcentral.